CCUACGGGAGGCAGCAGUCGAGAAUCAUUCACAAUGGGGGAAACCCUGAUGGUGCGACGCCGCGUGGGGGAAUGAAGGUCUUCGGAUUGUAAACCCCUGUCAUGUGGGAGCAAAGUAAAAAGAUAGUACCACAAGAGGAAGAGACGGCUAACUCUGGGCCAGCAGCCGCGGUAAUACAGAGGUCUCAAGCGUUGUUCGGAAUCACUGGGCGUAACGCGUGCGUAGGCUGUUUCGUAAGGCGUGUGUGAAAGGCGCGGGCUCCACCCGCGGACGGCACAUGAUACUGCGAGACUAGAGUAAUGGAGGGGGAACCGGAAUUCUCGGUGUAGCCGU
RNAcentral lists this ribosomal RNA (333 nucleotides) under uncultured bacterium. RNAcentral describes it as "partial 16S ribosomal RNA". It matches the Rfam family "Bacterial small subunit ribosomal RNA", at positions 338 to 682 of the family's 1533-position model. The record is from RNAcentral.